This 402-nucleotide unclassified non-coding RNA is filed under the name soil metagenome. Its description in RNAcentral is "partial contains 5.8S ribosomal RNA, internal transcribed spacer 2, and large subunit ribosomal RNA". The stretch from base 1 to 122 matches the Rfam family "5.8S ribosomal RNA", at positions 35 to 154 of the family's 154-position model. The record is from RNAcentral.
GAUGAAGAACGCAGCGAAAUGCGAUACUUGGUGUGAAUUGCAGAAUCCCGUGAACCAUCGAGCUUUUGAACGCAAGUUGCGCCCGAAGCCGUUAGGCCGAGGGCACGCCUGCCUGGGUGUCACAUCGUUGCCCCAAUGCCAAUCGCCUCACUUUGUAGGUAUUUGCUUGGGGUGAAUGUUGGCCUCCCGUGAGCUUUGUCUCACGGUUGGUUGAAAAUUGAGUGCAUGGUGUCGGGUGUACCAUGAUGGAUGGUGGUUGAGUGAUGAUGCUCGAGACCAAUCAUGGGUAACUCCACCAGAAUUGGGCUCGGUGACCCACAUGCGUCCCUUGGAUGCUCCCUAAGGAGACCUCAGGUCAGGCGGGGCUACCCGCUGAGUUUAAGCAUAUCAAUAAGCGGAGGA